CUACGGGAGGCACCAGUGGGGAAUAUUGGACAAUGGGGGAAACCCUGAUCCAGCAAUGCCGCGUGUGUGAAGAAGGCCUGCGGGUUGUAAAGCACUUUCGGUUGGGAGGACUGCUUCUAGCACUAAUAUUGUUGGAAGUUGACGUUACCUUCAGAAGAAGCACCGGCUAACUCCGUGCCAGCAGCCGCGGUAAUACGGAGGGUGCAAGCGUUAAUCGGAAUUACUGGGCGUAAAGCGCGCGUAGGCGGCUAGAUCAGUCGGGUGUGAAAGCCCCGGGCUUAACCUGGGAACUGCAUCCGAUACUGUCUAGCUUGAGUACAGGAGAGGAGAGUGGAAUUCCACAUGUAGCGGUGAAAUGCGUAGAUAUGUGGAGGAACACCAAUGGCGAAGGCAGCUCUCUGGCCUGAUACUGACGCUGAGGUGCGAAGGCGUGGGAAGCAAACAGGAUUAGAUACCCCUGUAGUC
Molecule: ribosomal RNA, 465 nt
Filed under: uncultured bacterium
Lineage: Bacteria
Description: partial 16S ribosomal RNA
Rfam family: Bacterial small subunit ribosomal RNA
Source: RNAcentral